This 494-nucleotide ribosomal RNA is filed under the name uncultured bacterium. RNAcentral's name for it is "bacterial SSU rRNA". It matches the Rfam family "Bacterial small subunit ribosomal RNA", at positions 29 to 507 of the family's 1533-position model. The record is from RNAcentral.
AACGAACGCUGGCGGUAUGCCUAACACAUGCAAGUCGCACGAGAAAGUACUUCGGUAUGAGUAGAGUGGCGCACGGGUGAGUAACACGUAGGUGACCUUCCGAAUAGUGGGGGAUAACUCGGAGAAAUCCGGGCUAAUACCGCAUAUGUACGACAAAUCUGAGAGUAGUCGUAGAAAGAAUGCCUCUACUUGUAAGCAUUCGCUAAUCGAUGGGCCUGCGGAGCAUUAGCUAGUUGGUGGGGUAAUGGCCUACCAAGGCUACGAUGCUUAACGGAUCUGAGAGGAUGAUCCGUCACACUGGAACUGAGACACGGGUCCAGACUCCUACGGGAGGCAGCAGUAGGGAAUAUUGGGCAAUGGAGGCAACUCUGACCCAGCCAUGCCGCGUGCAGGAUGACGGCCCUCUGGGUUGUAAACUGCUUUUAUACGGGAAGAAAAGUACUACGUGUAGUAUAUUGACGGUACCGUAAGAAUAAGGAUCGGCUAACUCCGUG